CCUCUCGGGGGUAAGCGGGCAGAACUUGCAAGUAUUGAUAAGAGAUUCAGACUUGGAUUUAGUAAUUGAGUACUUUUGUUAAGUUGUUUAUUCGUAAACUGACUGAUGUAUGUACUUUAUAUUAUUAAAAAUGUGUCGCAUUUCUCUUUAUCAUUCGGAUUGCAUGCAACUGAUUUUGAUAAUUUAGGUACUUGAAAUCUGUAAGUUAUUCAUUUAUGAAUGAUUUAAGUUUAAGUUUUCCAAUUAUUAAUGCGGUUGUAAUAAAUAGCGAAUAUGCGUUUGACGCGGUCAAUUAUUUUUACGAGUCGUGUAUAUGUAUUAUACGGAUGAGUAAUCAUAGUAUAUAAUAUGUACUGGUUGUCAGUGANAGUAAUUUGGCUAUAUUCAGUAUUGCAAUCUAAAGCAUGCGUGGUCUGCCUGU
Molecule: ribosomal RNA, 421 nt
Filed under: Friesea grisea
Lineage: Eukaryota; Metazoa; Arthropoda; Collembola; Poduromorpha; Neanuridae
Description: partial 28S ribosomal RNA
Source: RNAcentral